Molecule: non-coding RNA, 908 nt
Organism: Misgurnus anguillicaudatus (oriental weatherfish)
Lineage: Eukaryota; Metazoa; Chordata; Actinopteri; Cypriniformes; Cobitidae
Source: RefSeq, a predicted model, not a curated record
AUUAACAGUCCUGCAAAUAUCGCAGGCUCUGUGCAAACAGUUCUGCGUAUGACGUCAUUGUACCGCGAGGCAAAAACCGAAGCAGCGAGUCGGUGAUGCCAUGCGGGGAUCCGUCAGGUCUCUCUCCUUCUCACCUCAGAAGAACUGCAUGAACCAGCGCAGAUCUGACCCGCUGUUUGAUGCGUAAUACUACCGAUUAAAAUAAUUGAAGGAUUCGGCAGUUUUUAAUCAUUAUUUGUUGUGGCAAAAUGGUCUAAGGGCGUGGAUUUGCUUUACCCUGGACCUCGCAGAAAAUUUUAUUUUUAGUUCUGAAUACUGCACAACCCUGGCUGUGACCUGAGAGAAGAGUAAUGGUCAGCAGAUGCUCCAGAGGCUAUCGCCCACGGGUAAACGGGCAGGUGAAAGUAUGGCAUGCUACAGCCAUCUUGCCCAGAUGGCUCUGGUAUUCUCAGCCAGAGAUUUACUUCUCAGACUGGAAGUGGCGCCUUUAUUGAAAAUGAGGUCAAUCGAUUAUUUGAGCCUGGACUGAGGCUUGCUCCUGCGCUGCAGUGAAACAGGUCCUGAUGGAGAGGGAGGAAGGGAAAAAAGAUCUAGAGAAAGGACGAAGGAAAGCCCAUAAUGCUGUAAUGCCCAUUAGCGAGAUUUCACGCACUCUCUCUGAUCUGACUCACUGACAGCAGCCUCUAAGAGACUAUAAUGAGAAUGUUUGGCAGGGUUCUGUGUGUGUGUGUCUUAUGUCAGUGUCUAGAGCCAAUCUCACAUAGACAUGGACCACUAAUGGGCAUAUCUAUAUUGGGAGAUUUUGUAUUGGACAACCAGAGUAUGUAUAGAUGUGUGUGUGCUGUUUGUUUGGGCACUCUUGAGAAUAGAGAGUGAGGGAAUCAGUGAAUAAAUAGCACACACAGCUA